Non-coding RNA from Paramuricea clavata, 93 nucleotides. Lineage: Eukaryota; Metazoa; Cnidaria; Anthozoa; Malacalcyonacea; Plexauridae. The record is from the annotation of a GenBank genome assembly.
GGUCGCGCUGUGAUUUGACUAUAUAAUUAGUGACGUAUCCUACUAUGUUAUGUAGGAUACGUCACUAAUUAUAUAGUCAAAUCACAGCGCGAC